UCCUGAAGGGACUGCUCCGCAUGCGCUCCCGUCACUCACUGAAUCUGAGCCCAGGCGCAGAUGUCUGCCGUCCAACUGAAUUCCCAUAUCAAACAUGUCUGCCUGCAACACAAUCUCCAACGAGUCCGGGUGGCAGUUGACCGCGACAGGUUGAGACGCAGGCCGAGGCCGCACGCUGAGCUCGGCGCUUCUCUGCUGCGUGACCGCGGUGAGUUGAGGCGGGACGUCACCAUGAGUCCUGCCUUCGCUGGAGCCUCUGCUGGACACUAACCGGCUUUCUGUGAGUUUGGAAACUGAGAUGAGAACGACAAUCCGCCAAAAAGAGGUUACUUGGAGGUUGCGGUCCAUUCUUGGCCUCCUCGAAAAGGUUAGGGAAGGAGCCCUCUGAAAAUAUCACCGCAGCUAGUUCAUGUAUGCAAGGACUCUGUUGAUUGUGACGGUGCGGACCUGGAAGCCCUUCAACACUUUGCAGAGGCUCAGUCUUUCAUCGUAGGUGCUUGGACGGUCUACAGCAACCUUAAAGAAACAGAGAGGAGUAGAAAUGGAGAAGUUGACAGCUAUUGCAGACAGAGAGACAGGGCCGAGAGAGAUGAGAGAAGAGAAAGAUUCACCUGGUGAGGUCCUCUAUGUCCACCAGCAUGGCGUCCUGCUCCACAUGUAGCUCAUCCCUCAGCAGCAGCAACUGUACCAGCUCCUCAU
Molecule: long non-coding RNA, 699 nt
Organism: Micropterus dolomieu (smallmouth bass)
Lineage: Eukaryota; Metazoa; Chordata; Actinopteri; Centrarchiformes; Centrarchidae
Exons: 3
Source: RefSeq, a predicted model, not a curated record